RNAcentral lists this long non-coding RNA (300 nucleotides) under Coturnix japonica (Japanese quail). RNAcentral's name for it is "lncRNA (ENSCJPG00005013287.1)". Lineage: Eukaryota; Metazoa; Chordata; Aves; Galliformes; Phasianidae. The record is from RNAcentral.
CCAGCCCAAUAAUACACUGAAAUGGGAAGCUUAUGUGCAAUCUAAGGACAGAAUAUGAGCUUUACCUACUGGCACAUGGCAUGCACCCUGCAGUCACUGGACUGCAGGAGAUACUGCCAGCCUCUGCCAUCCAGGAGAAGAAUUGCAUGCCAACAAGCAAAGAAGCAAGAACAAACCUGGAAGAGGUCAUCAAUUCAAAAUCUGAAACAACGAGAAGACUUCCAGUGUCCUAGCCAGAUAUAUUAUCUUUGUUCCAGAGUGCUGACCACUGUUAAAGUUUCUCAAAGCAACGUGAAGUAA